Long non-coding RNA from Sebastes umbrosus (honeycomb rockfish), 374 nucleotides. RefSeq lists it as uncharacterized. The record is from RefSeq and is a predicted model, not a curated record. The transcript has 3 exons. NCBI's taxonomy places the organism in Eukaryota, Metazoa, Chordata, Actinopteri, Perciformes, Sebastidae.
AACUACGGAAGAGUCUUCAGAUCUGCAGCCUCAAUGUACGACGUCUGGGAAGAAGAGGAGCGUUAUACAGACCAACUGAGACGUCAUCUGCUCUGUGCUGAAGCUCUGAGAAAACGCUGGAGAACCACAUGGAGGCUCAUCAGAAGCAGCUCAGCCGCCUCUGAGACGAGAUCUAAGAUGAGCAGAGGAUGCUGGACGAACUCAGACUAAGGACACACCAGUAAAUCAAAACAUUGUCUUGGUACUUUGAUUAUUGUUUUAAUAGGUAUAGUUUGCCAUAGAAACGUCAUAGUAUAGUAUAUUAUAAUAUUUUUGUGAAAACAAAUCAGUGUAGUAUGCCAUAUAAAAAUUACAUAUUGUACGUCAUAAAAUGU